Molecule: ribosomal RNA, 825 nt
Filed under: Harknessia eucalyptorum
Lineage: Eukaryota; Fungi; Ascomycota; Sordariomycetes; Diaporthales; Harknessiaceae
Description: eukaryotic LSU rRNA
Rfam family: Eukaryotic large subunit ribosomal RNA
Source: RNAcentral
CAACAGGGAUUGCCCUAGUAACGGCGAGUGAAGCGGCAACAGCUCAAAUUUGAAAUCUGGCCUCGGCCCGAGUUGUAAUUUGCAGAGGAUGUUUCUGGCGCGGUGCCUUCCGAGUUCCCUGGAACGGGACGCCACAGAGGGUGAGAGCCCCGUAUGGUUGGACACCAAGCCUGUGUGAAACUCCUUCGACGAGUCGAGUAGUUUGGGAAUGCUGCUCUAAAUGGGAGGUAAAUCUCUUCUAAAGCUAAAUACCGGCCAGAGACCGAUAGCGCACAAGUAGAGUGAUCGAAAGAUGAAAAGCACCUUGAAAAGGGGGUUAAACAGUACGUGAAAUUGUUGAAAGGGAAGCGCUCAUGACCAGACUUGUGCCGGGCGGUUCAUCCGGGGUUCUCCCCGGUGCACUCCGCCCGGUUCAGGCCAGCAUCGGUUCUCGUUGGGGGAUAAGAACGGUAGGAACGUGGCCCUCCCUCGGGAGGGUGUUAUAGCCUGCCGUACGAUACCCUGACGGGGACCGAGGUUCGCGCUCCGCAAGGAUGCUGGCGUAAUGGUCAUCAGCGACCCGUCUUGAAACACGGACCAAGGAGUCGUCCAUUAGAGCGAGCGUUUGGGUGUAAAACCCGCACGCGUAAUGAAAGUGAAAUUAGGUGAGAGCUUCGGCGCAUCAUCGACCGAUCCUGAUGUUCUCGGAUGGAUUUGAGUAAGAGUUUUAACGGACGGACCCGAAAGACAGUGAACUAUGCUUGUAUAGGGUGAAGCCAGAGGAAACUCUGGUGGAGGCUCGCAGCGGUUCUGACGUGCAAAUCGAUCGUCAAAUAUGAGCAUGGG